AGGGUGCAGGGCGGAUGCCUUGGCACUAGGAGCCGAUGAAGGACGUGAUAAGCUGCGAUAAGCUUCGGGGAGUUGCACGUAAACUUUGAUCCGAAGAUUUCCGAAUGAGGAAACUCACUUAGAGUAAUGUCUAAGUAUCAUUAAGUGAAUACAUAGCUUAAUGAGGGGAACUCAGGGAACUGAAACAUCUAAGUACCUGAAGGAAGAGAAAGAAAUUCGAUUCCGUAAGUAGCGGCGAGCGAACGCGGAUUAGCCCAAACCAAUAAAGUUUUCUUUAUUGGGGUUGCGGACAUAUCAUAACGAAGAGGUAUCGUAAUUGAAGAGGUUUGGAAAGACCCACCACAGAAGGUAAUAGUCCUGUAUGUUAAACGAGAAGACUUUAGAUAUGAUCCAGAGUACCACGGGACACGUGAAACCCUGUGGGAAGCAGGAGGGACCACCCUCCAAGGCUAAAUACUACCUAGUGACCGAUAGCGUAUAGUACCGUGAGGGAAAGGUGAAAAGAACCCCGGGAGGGGAGUGAAAUAGAACCUGAAACCCUGCACUUACAAGCUGUGGAAGCACAUUUCUUGUGUGACCGCGUACUUUUUGUAGAACGGGCCAACGAGUUACGUUAAGUAGCAAGGUUAAGCACUUAAGGUGCGGAGCCGUAGCGAAAGCGAGUUUUAACUGAGCGUUCAGUUACUUGACGUAGACCCGAAACCGGGCGACCUACCCAUGAGCAGGAUGAAGCGAAAGUAAAAUUUCGUGGAGGUCCGAACCCACGAGCGUUGAAAAGCUCGGGGAUGACUUGUGGGUAGCGGUGAAAUUCCAAUCGAGCCCGGAGAUAGCUGGUUCUCCCCGAAAUAGCUUUAGGGCUAGCCUCAAGGUGAGAGAUACGGAGGUAGAGCACUGAAUGUCCUAGGGGGUAUUGCACCUACCGAAGACUAUCAAACUCCGAAUGCCGUCAUCUUAUACUUGGGAGUCAGACUGUGGGUGAUAAGAUUCAUAGUCGAAAGGGCAACAGCCCAGAUCGUCAGCUAAGGUCCCUAAAUGUAAGUUAAGUGGUAAAGGAUGUGGGAUUGCACAGACAACCAGGAUGUUGGCUUAGAAGCAGCCACUCAUUCAAAGAGUGCGUAAUAGCUCACUGGUCGAGUGAUCCUGCGCCGAAGAUUUCCGGGGCUAAAACUUACUACCGAAGCUACGGCAUCAGUAAUGAUGGGUAGGGGAGCUUCCCAUACGGGUUGAAGCAUGACCGUAAGGACAUGUGGACAGUAUGGGAGUGAGAAUGUUGGCAUGAGUAGCGAGAUGUGGGUGAGAAUCCCACAGGCCGUAAACCCAAGGUUUCCAGGGGAAGGUUCGUCCACCCUGGGUUAGUCGGGACCUAAGCUGAGGCCGAAAGGCGUAGGUGAUGGACAACAGGUUGAUAUUCCUGUACUACCGAUAACCGUUUGAGAGAAGGGAUGACACAGUAGGAUAAGCUAAGCACACUGUUGGUUAUGUGUGCCCAAGCAUUGAGGCAGUCAAAGUAGGCAAAUCCGCUUUGAUAAUGCUGGGAUGUGAUGGGGAGCGAAAUUUAGUAGCGAAGUAGCUGAUUUCACACUGUCAAGAAAAGUCUCUAUCGAGGUUAAAGGUACCCGUACCGCAAACCGACACAGGUGGGUGAGGAGAGUAUCCUAAGGCCAGCGAGAGAACUGUUGUUAAGGAACUCGGCAAAAUGACCCCGUAACUUAGGGAUAAGGGGUGCCACCAUCAGGUGGCCGCAGAGAAUAGGCCCAAGCGACUGUUUACCAAAAACAUAGGUUUCUGCUAAGUCGCAAGACGAUGUAUAGGAGCUGACGCCUGCCCGGUGCUGGAAGGUUAAGGGGAUCUGUUAGAGCAAUCGAAGCAGUGAACUUAAGCCCCAGUAAACGGCGGCCGUAACUAUAACGGUCCUAAGGUAGCGAAAUUCCUUGUCGGGUAAGUUCCGACCCGCACGAAAGGCGUAACGAUUUGGGCACUGUCUCAACAACAGACUCGGUGAAAUUGUAAUUCCGGUGAAGAUGCCGGAUACCUGCGACAGGACGGAAAGACCCCAUGGAGCUUUACUGUAGCUUGACAUUGGGUCUUGGUACUACAUGUACAGGAUAGGUGGGAGGCUUUGAAACCAGGACGCCAGUUUUGGCGGAGCCAUCCUUGGGAUACCACCCUUGUAGUACUGGGACUCUAACCAUAGGCCAUGAAUCUGGUCUUGGGACACUGUCAGGUGGGCAGUUUGACUGGGGCGGUCGCCUCCCAAAAGGUAACGGAGGCGCUCAAAGGUUCUCUCAGUACGGUCGGAAAUCGUACGUAGAGUGUAAAGGCAAAAGAGAGCUUGAUUGCAAGACAUACAGGUCGAGCAAGGAUGAAAAUCGGACUUAGUGAUCCGGUGGUUCUGCGUGGAAGGGCCAUCGCUCAACGGAUAAAAGCUACCCUGGGGAUAACAGGCUUAUCUCCCCCAAGAGUCCACAUCGACGGGGAGGUUUGGCACCUCGAUGUCGGCUCAUCACAUCCUGGGGCUGUAGUAGGUCCCAAGGGUUGGGCUGUUCGCCCAUUAAAGUGGUACGCGAGCUGGGUUCAGAACGUCGUGAGACAGUUCGGUCCCUAUCCGUCGCAGGCGUAGGAAAUUUGAGAAGACCUGUCCUUAGUACGAGAGGACCGGGAUGGACGUACCUCUGGUGUACCAGUUGUCCUGCCAAGGGCAUGGCUGGGUAGCUAUGUACGGAAUGGAUAAGCGCUGAAAGCAUCUAAGCGCGAAGCCAACUUCAAGAUAAGAUUUCCCACCGCAAGGGUAAGACCCCAGAAAGACUAUCUGGUUGA
This 2817-nucleotide ribosomal RNA is filed under the name Clostridioides difficile. RNAcentral describes it as "bacterial LSU rRNA". It matches the Rfam family "Bacterial large subunit ribosomal RNA". Lineage: Bacteria; Bacillati; Bacillota; Clostridia; Peptostreptococcales; Peptostreptococcaceae. The record is from RNAcentral.